Molecule: ribosomal RNA, 215 nt
Filed under: uncultured bacterium
Lineage: Bacteria
Description: partial 16S ribosomal RNA
Rfam family: Bacterial small subunit ribosomal RNA
Source: RNAcentral
UACGUAGGGUGCAAGCGUUGUCCGGAAUUAUUGGGCGUAAAGAGCUCGUAGGCGGUCUGUCGCGUCGGCUGUGAAAACUCGGGGCUCAACCCCGAGCCUGCAGUCGAUACGGGGCAGACUAGAGUGCGGUAGGGGGAGACUGGAAUUCCUGGUGUAGCGGUGAAAUGCGCAGAUAUCAGGAGGAACACCGAUGGCGAAGGCAGGUCUCUGGGCCA